Small nuclear RNA from Suricata suricatta (meerkat), 107 nucleotides. The record is from Ensembl. NCBI's taxonomy places the organism in Eukaryota, Metazoa, Chordata, Mammalia, Carnivora, Herpestidae.
GGGCUCGCUUCGGCAGCACACAUACUAAAACCGGAACGGCACAGAGAAGGUGGGCAGGGCGCCUGCGCAAGGACGACACGCAAACUCGUGCAGCGCUCCGUGUUUAA